This 414-nucleotide ribosomal RNA is filed under the name Pyrgiscus crenatus. Its description in RNAcentral is "partial 16S ribosomal RNA". It matches the Rfam family "Bacterial large subunit ribosomal RNA", at positions 1829 to 2597 of the family's 2925-position model. The record is from RNAcentral. Lineage: Eukaryota; Metazoa; Mollusca; Gastropoda; Pyramidellidae.
UUCCUUUUGAAAAAAUAAAAGGUAAGCCCUGCCCACUGGAAACCCUAAAUGGCCGCAGUACUUUGACUGUGCUAAGGUAGCAUAAUUAUUUGGCUUUUAAUUGGAGUCUGUAUGAAUGGGUAUUUGUAAAUUUAUUGUCUUAUUUAAGUUUUAUUUAAAUUAGUUAAUGGGUGAAAAUACCUAUUAUUUGAAAAAAGACGAGAAGACCCUUGGAAUUUUUUUUUUGUUGGGGCAACAUUUGAGCACAAAAAAAUCUCAAAGAAAAAUCAAAAAAAGACCGUUUUUUCAUGUAAUAAAAAAUUACCCAAGGGAUAACAGCAUAAUCUUUUUUUAGGAUUGUGACCUCGAUGUUGGACUAAGAAAUUCCAGGAUAGUCUUCUGGGAAUUUAUGCUCUGUUCGAGCAGUAAAAUCUU